UACGUAGGUGGCAAGCGUUGUCCGGAUUUAUUGGGUUUAAAGGGUGCGUAGGCGGCCCUGUAAGUCAGUGCUGAAAUAUCCCGGCUUAACCGGGAGGGUGGCAUUGAUACUGCAGGGCUUGAGUACAGAUGAAGUAGGCGGAAUUGACGGUGCAGCGGUGAAAUGCAUAGAUAUCGUCAAGAACACCGAUAGCGAAGGCAGCUUACUAAGCUGUAACUGACGCUGAGGCACGAAAGUGUGGGGAUCAAACAGG
RNAcentral lists this ribosomal RNA (253 nucleotides) under uncultured bacterium. RNAcentral's name for it is "partial 16S ribosomal RNA". It matches the Rfam family "Bacterial small subunit ribosomal RNA", at positions 524 to 776 of the family's 1533-position model. The record is from RNAcentral.